RNAcentral lists this ribosomal RNA (250 nucleotides) under uncultured bacterium. RNAcentral's name for it is "partial 16S ribosomal RNA". It matches the Rfam family "Bacterial small subunit ribosomal RNA", at positions 355 to 602 of the family's 1533-position model. The record is from RNAcentral.
UGAGGAAUAUUGGACAAUGGGCGCAAGCCUGAUCCAGCCAUGCCGCGUGCAGGAUGAAGCAUCUAUGGUGUGUAAACUGCUUUUAUACGGGAAGAAACCCUGCCACGUGUGGCAGAUUGACGGUACCGUAAGAAUAAGGACCGGCUAACUCCGUGCCAGCAGCCGCGGUAAUACGGAGGGUCCAAGCGUUAUCCGGAAUCAUUGGGUUUAAAGGGUCCGUAGGCGGUCUUAUAAGUCAGUGGUGAAAUCU